GCCCCGUGUUCCGAACUGUCUCCGUAUGGAGCGCGUGCCUGCCGUUGGCAGGAUAGGACACGGGGCCGCC
This 70-nucleotide non-coding RNA is filed under the name unclassified sequences. RNAcentral's name for it is "DUF3800-IX RNA". It matches the Rfam family "DUF3800-IX RNA". From Rfam's summary of the family: Actinobacteria, Firmicutes (1 example), Nitrospirae, Proteobacteria, Verrucomicrobia (1 example). Nearby to DUF3800 The record is from Rfam by way of RNAcentral.